Molecule: ribosomal RNA, 632 nt
Filed under: Asparagopsis taxiformis
Lineage: Eukaryota; Rhodophyta; Florideophyceae; Bonnemaisoniales; Bonnemaisoniaceae
Description: eukaryotic LSU rRNA
Rfam family: Eukaryotic large subunit ribosomal RNA
Source: RNAcentral
AUGAAAAGCACUUUGAAAAGAGGGUGAAAAGAAUCUGAAACCGUUGUGAGGGAAGCGGAUUGCGUUGCAGUAACUGUGGGCGCCGGUGUGUUCAGCCUGUUUCGGCGGGUGUAGUGGCACCGGUGGCUCCGUCUGCUGUGGGUUUGUGGUGGCUGAUUGCAAGGCUGCUGCGGACUGAGGGCUCCGUGCUGCUUUGCGGCGGCACGUGAGGACGGCAGGGUGACGACGCGAUACGACCCGUCUUGAAACACGGACCAAGGAGUCUAGCACAGCUGCGAGUCUGAGGGUGUCAAAGCCUGUGGGCGAAGUGAAAGCGAAAGAUGGCGGUAAUUCCAUAAUUUCAGAAUGACAAAGUUGUUGCAAUUUGGGGCGGCGCGCGAUCUCUGAUUGCGUGUCCGACCURGAGCAGUUGUGCUGGUACCCGAAAGAUGGUGAACUAUUCCUGAGUAGGGUGAAGCCGGAGGAAACUCUGGUGGAAGCCCGAAGCGGUGCUGACGUGCAAAUCGCUCGUCAAACUUGGGUAUAGGGGCGAAAGACUAAUCGAACCAUCUAGUAGCUGGUUCCCUCCGAAGUUUCUCUCAGGAUAGCGGGCCGACGACGUGAAAAAGAGCUAAUAUAUGGUUGUUUUGUGU